This is a long non-coding RNA of Chinchilla lanigera (long-tailed chinchilla), 650 nucleotides long. RefSeq lists it as uncharacterized. The record is from RefSeq and is a predicted model, not a curated record. The transcript is spliced from 2 exons. Lineage: Eukaryota; Metazoa; Chordata; Mammalia; Rodentia; Chinchillidae.
CACAGCUGAGAUCUCAGUUCUGCUUAGAAGGACAGCCAGUGACGGCAGAUGCGCCAGGCGGCCAGCUGGGACCCCCGGCCACCUGCUCCACCCGGCCCAGAGAGCAGCGUGUCCUUCACGCGGACAUCUGCUCGAGGUCUGCGCCAGCGUGAGUCACACGCUCGGCCGCCUCUUGUGACCGGAAGUGGUGACUGUCUCCCGCAGCGGCGGGGGCGUCCCGGCGGGGAGGCUUGUUCUCUCGGUUCCAGAUCAACCCGGCGGCCGUCGUGAAUGCACAGCGCGUCCCCUGCAGCCCAGCUCCUGCUCAGAAGUCAUGGUCCCUUCGCUGACCGUGGACUCGUGCCCCAAGCCAGCGCUUCCCUUGCCUUAACCCAACCCAAAGCCAGGAACCAGACGGCCGGGCGGCCACGAAGCAGCUGAUCCUGCUCACUUCCCCGGCCUACCCCAUGCCGCCGAUGUGGCAUUCGCCCAUCGCAUGUGAGGCCCCGGGUUCCACGCCCUGCAUGGAAACCAAAAUCCCACAGGAAUAAUCGAGAGCCCUCCGCAGUUCUACCUCUGACUUCCAAGUAGGAGGGAAUAACGGCUUCCCUUCUGCACUCUAUCCUGAGAUGAGAUUCCGGCCCCGGCCACCGAAAGAAUCUUGACAUAUA